CCGUGACGAUUCCCUAGAUGACGAGUCUUAUUUCGAGUUAUCGGUGCAGACAACAUCUUUUUUUUUUCUAAGUGCUUGCUAACU
This 84-nucleotide small nucleolar RNA is filed under the name Aspergillus clavatus NRRL 1. Lineage: Eukaryota; Fungi; Ascomycota; Eurotiomycetes; Eurotiales; Aspergillaceae. The record is from RNAcentral.